This 77-nucleotide transfer RNA is filed under the name Fidelibacterota bacterium. RNAcentral describes it as "tRNA-Pro". It matches the Rfam family "tRNA". From Rfam's summary of the family: Transfer RNA (tRNA) molecules are approximately 80 nucleotides in length. Their secondary structure includes four short double-helical elements and three loops (D, anti-codon, and T loops). Lineage: Bacteria; Pseudomonadati; Fidelibacterota. The record is from RNAcentral.
CGGAGUAUAGCACAGCUUGGUAGUGCGCCUGGUUUGGGACCAGGAGGUCGUAGGUUCGAAUCCUACUACUCCGACCA